AGGGAACAGCUCCUUGGUGAAUG
RNAcentral lists this non-coding RNA (23 nucleotides) under Cricetulus griseus (Chinese hamster). The record is from RNAcentral. Lineage: Eukaryota; Metazoa; Chordata; Mammalia; Rodentia; Cricetidae.